Molecule: unclassified non-coding RNA, 227 nt
Filed under: Hevea brasiliensis (rubber tree)
Lineage: Eukaryota; Viridiplantae; Streptophyta; Magnoliopsida; Malpighiales; Euphorbiaceae
Source: RNAcentral
ACAAGAUUCAAUUGCAAGAACUUACAAUUGCUCAAAAAGAAGGGAAAAUGAGAAAUUUGAAAUUUAGGUUAUUUGAUGCAACACAAGCAAUGUUGUUGAGACCAGAUGGUCAUCCUAGUAAAUAUGGACAUUGGCCCAAACCAAAUGUUACAUUUUCAAAUGAUUGUGUUCAUUGGUGUUUACCAGGCCCAAUUGAUGUGUGGAGUGAUUUCUUACUUGAACUUAUG